This 620-nucleotide ribosomal RNA is filed under the name uncultured bacterium. Its description in RNAcentral is "bacterial SSU rRNA". It matches the Rfam family "Bacterial small subunit ribosomal RNA", at positions 444 to 1056 of the family's 1533-position model. The record is from RNAcentral.
GACGAAGGUACGGCGGUGAAUAGCCGUCCGUACUGACGGUACCUCCAGAAGAAGCCCCGGCUAACUACGUGCCAGCAGCCGCGGUAAUACGUAGGGGGCAAGCGUUGUCCGGAAUCAUUGGGCGUAAAGCGCGCGUAGGCGGCCCGGUAAGUCCGCUCUGAAAGUCCAGGGCUCAACCCUGGAAAGCGGGUGGAUACUGCCGGGCUAGAGUCCGGAAGAGGCGAGUGGAAUUCCUGGUGUAGCGGUGGAAUGCGCAGAUAUCAGGAGGAACACCAAUAGCGAAGGCAGCUCGCUGGGACGGUACUGACGCUGAGGCGCGAAAGCGUGGGGAGCGAACAGGAUUAGAUACCCUGGUAGUCCACGCCGUAAACGAUGGGCACUAGUUGUGGGAGGUGUCGACUCCUUCCGUGACGUCGCUAACGCAUUAAGUGCCCCGCCUGGGGAGUACGGCCGCAAGGCUAAAACUCAAAGGAAUUGACGGGGGCCCGCACAAGCAGCGGAGCAUGUGGUUUAAUUCGACGCAACGCGAAGAACCUUACCUGGGUUUGACAUGUUGGUGACCGGUGUGGAAACACACCUUUCCUUCGGGACACCAUCACAGGUGGUGCAUGGCUGUCGUC